GAUGAAGAACGUAGCAAAAUGCGAUAAGUAAUGUGAAUUGCAGAAUUCAGUGAAUCAUCGAAUCUUUGAACGCACAUUGCGCCCGCCAGUAUUCUGGCGGGCAUGCCUGUUCGAGCGUCAUUUCAACCCUCAAGCCCUCGGGUUUGGUGUUGGGGAUCGGCGAGCCUUUCUGGCAAGCCGGCCCCGAAAUCUAGUGGCGGUCUCGCUGCAGCCUCCAUUGCGUAGUAGUAAAACCCUCGCAACUGGAACGCGGCGCGGCCAAGCCGUUAAACCCCCAACUUCUGAAUGUUGACCUCGGAUCGGGUAGGAAUACCCGCUGAACUUAAGCAUAUCAAUAAGCGGAGGA
RNAcentral lists this unclassified non-coding RNA (346 nucleotides) under soil metagenome. RNAcentral describes it as "partial contains 5.8S ribosomal RNA, internal transcribed spacer 2, and large subunit ribosomal RNA". The stretch from base 1 to 120 matches the Rfam family "5.8S ribosomal RNA", at positions 35 to 154 of the family's 154-position model. The record is from RNAcentral.